UGGGGAAUUUUGGACAAUGGGCGAAAGCCUGAUCCAGCAAUGCCGCGUGUGUGAAGAAGGCCUUCGGGUUGUAAAGCACUUUUGUCCGGAAAGAAAUCCUUGGCUCUAAUACAGUCGGGGGAUGACGGUACCGGAAGAAUAAGCACCGGCUAACUACGUGCCAGCAGCCGCGGUAAUACGUAGGGUGCAAGCGUUAAUCGGAAUUACUGGGCGUAAAGCGUGCGCAGGCGGUUUGCUAAGACCGAUGUGAAAUCCCCGGGCUCAACCUGGGAACUGCAUUGGUGACUGGCAGGCUAGAGUAUGGCAGAGGGGGGUAGAAUUCCACGUGUAGCAGUGAAAUGCGUAGAGAUGUGGAGGAAUACCGAUGGCGAAGGCAGCCCCCUGGGCCAAAUACUGACGCUCAUGCACGAAAGGCGUGGGGAGCAAACAGGAUUAGAUACCCUGGUAGUCCACGCCCUAAACGAUGUCAACUAGUUGUUGGGGAUUCAUUUCCUUAGUAACGUAGCUAACGCGUGAAGUUGACCGCCUGGGG
Molecule: ribosomal RNA, 532 nt
Filed under: uncultured bacterium
Lineage: Bacteria
Description: partial 16S ribosomal RNA
Rfam family: Bacterial small subunit ribosomal RNA
Source: RNAcentral